AGUGGAUGGGGAGCAACCUAGUUGUGCGUGUGUAAAGGUAGUGCCAAGAAAAGCGGUGAUCAUGAUGAAAAUCAAUUCCCGGUACCCGAAACCGACACAGGUGGGCAAGUAGAGAAUACUAAGGGGCGCGAGGUAACUCUCUCCAAGGAACUCGGCAAAAUGACCCCGUAACUUAGGGAGAAGGGGUGCCACCGAGAGGUGGUCGCAGUGAAGAGGCCCAGGCGACUGUUUAGCAAAAACAUAGGUCUCUGCAAACUCGAAAGAGGAGGUAUAGGGGCUGACGCCUGCCCAGUGCCGGAAGGUUAAAGAAGUUGGUCAGUCUUAGGAUAAAGCUAGCGACUGAAGCCCCGGUGAACGGCGGCCGUAACUAUAACGGUCCUAAGGUAGCGAAAUUCCUUGUCGGGUAAGUUCCGACCCGCACGAAAGGCGUAACGAUCUGGGCGCUGUCUCGGAGAGAGGCUCGGCGAAAUAGGAUUGUCUGUGAAGAUACGGACUACCUGCAUUUGGACAGAAAGACCCUAUGAAGCUUUACUAUAGCUUGGAAUUGUGUUCGGGCUUCCUGUGCGCAGGAUAGGUGGGAGGCGAAGAAGGUAUUCUUGUGGGGAUACUGGAGCCAACGGUGAGAUACCACUCUCAGGAGGCUAGAAUUCUAACUUAAUUAAGGACAGUUUCAGGUGGGUAGUUUGACUGGGCGGUCGCCUCCAAAAAGGUAACGGAGGCGUACAAAGGUUCCCUCAGACUGGUUGGAAAUCAGUCGCAGAGUGCAAAGGCAGAAGGGAGCUUGACUGCGAGAAGUACAGUUCGAGCAGGGUGGAAACACGGUCUUAGUGAUCCGACGGUGCUGUGUGGAAGGGCCGUCGUUCAACGGAUAAAAGUUACUCUAGGAUAACAGGCUGAUCUCCCCCAAGAGUUCACAUCGACGGGGAGGUUUGGCACCUCGAUGUCGGCUUAUCGCAACCUGGGGCGGAAGUACGUCCCAAGGGUUGGGCUGUUCGCCCAUUAAAGCGGUACGUGAGCUGGGUUCAGAACGUCGUGAGACAGUUCGGUCCAUAUCCGAUGUAGGCGUGAGAAUAUUGAGAGGAGCCUUCCUUAGUACGAGAGGACCGGGAAGGACGCACCGCUGGUGUACCUGUUAUGAUGCCAAUUGUAAACGCAGGGUAGCCAAGUGCGGAGAGGAUAACCGCUGAAAGCAUCUAAGUGGGAAGCCCACCUCAAGAUGAGUAUUCUGGUGUAAGGUCACGGGAAGACGACCCGUAAAUAGGCACGAGGUGGAAGUGCAGAGAUGUAUGAAGCCGAAGUGUACUAAUAGACCGUCGGCUUG
This 1321-nucleotide ribosomal RNA is filed under the name metagenome. Its description in RNAcentral is "bacterial LSU rRNA". It matches the Rfam family "Bacterial large subunit ribosomal RNA", at positions 1561 to 2925 of the family's 2925-position model. The record is from RNAcentral.